Non-coding RNA from Paramuricea clavata, 661 nucleotides. NCBI's taxonomy places the organism in Eukaryota, Metazoa, Cnidaria, Anthozoa, Malacalcyonacea, Plexauridae. The record is from the annotation of a GenBank genome assembly.
GUCAGGAGUGGGACCUUGGUAUGCAUGAAAGUUUUCUAACCAGACUGAGGAUCAUCUUGGGCUGAAACGUCGAAAUUCUCCUUAUAUUUUUCAGGUAGUUGCAUCUCUACCAAUGAAAAGUUUAUUUUACCUGAGUGUCUAGCGUGUAUCUCAAACCAAGUGUCUUGUUCAAAAGCAUUCAUAAUUUUCCCAUCUUUAUUUCGUCUGCGGAAGAACGUAGGUACUUCCUCAAUCUCCCCAAGGGAUUCCUGCGCGUUCAAACGUUGCAGCUUGUCUUUGAACCAUUUAGGAGCGUUCCUCGUACGAUACGAUGAUUGCGCGUCAGGUGAUCCUCUCACAACAGCGGCAACGUUUAACAUGUAAAGUAGAACACAAAACCAUAUAUCAACAGUCGAGGUCAUUGUGGACGAUUAUUUCCAACACGAUAUACAAGCUGAAUAUAUUGCGUGUUUAUCAGAACGAUGUGCAGCUGUUGUUGUUGUGAAUAUAUUGCGUAUUUGCUGUAUGCGCGACAUGCCCAGACGCGUACUAAGCAAGAUUUAUUUUGUUUAAUUAACUAUCAAUAGGUUGGCAAAUAUUCCGGUGUGUGCUAUAUUAAAACUUGAAAUUUAGCCAGAAUAAAACUGGUUUUUUGAGUUGAACUAGGGAAAGGUUUAUAACA